RNAcentral lists this ribosomal RNA (492 nucleotides) under uncultured bacterium. RNAcentral's name for it is "partial 16S ribosomal RNA". It matches the Rfam family "Bacterial small subunit ribosomal RNA", at positions 29 to 507 of the family's 1533-position model. The record is from RNAcentral.
AGUGAACGCUGGCGGUAGGCCUAACACAUGCAAGUCGAACGGCAGCACAGUAAGUGCUUGCUCUUACGGGUGGCGCGUGGCGGACGGGUGAGGAAUACAUCGGAUUCUACUUUUUCGUGGGGGAUAACGUAGGGAAACUUACGCUAAUACCGCAUACGACCUACGGGUGAAAGCAGGGGAUCUUCGGACUUUGCGCGAUUGAAUGAGCCGAUGUCGGAUUAGCUAGUUGGCGGGGUAAAGGCCCAGCAAGGCGACGAUCCGUAGCUGGUCUGAGCGGGUGAUCAGCCAGACGGGAACUGAGACAGAGUCGAGACUCCUGCGGUGAGCAGCAGUGGGGAAUAUUGCGCGAUGGGGGAGAGCCGGAUCCAGCCAUACCGCGUGAGUGAAGAAGGCCUUCGGGUUGGAAAGCCCUGUUGUUGGUAAAGAAGAGCAGCAGGUUAAUACGCCACUGUUCUGACGGUACCCGAAGAAUAAGCACCGGCUAACUUCGUG